Molecule: ribosomal RNA, 491 nt
Filed under: uncultured bacterium
Lineage: Bacteria
Description: bacterial SSU rRNA
Rfam family: Bacterial small subunit ribosomal RNA
Source: RNAcentral
UCAGUUGUGAAAGUUUGCGGCUCAACCGUAAAAUUGCAGUUGAUACUGGAUAUCUUGAGUGCAGUUGAGGCAGGCGGAAUUCGUGGUGUAGCGGUGAAAUGCUUAGAUAUCACGAAGAACUCCGAUUGCGAAGGCAGCCUGCCAAGCUGCAACUGACAUUGAGGCUCGAAAGUGUGGGUAUCAAACAGGAUUAGAUACCCUGGUAGUCCACACGGUAAACGAUGAAUACUCGCUGUUUGCGAUAUACUGCAAGCGGCCAAGCGAAAGCGUUAAGUAUUCCACCUGGGGAGUACGCCGGCAACGGUGAAACUCAAAGGAAUUGACGGGGGCCCGCACAAGCGGAGGAACAUGUGGUUUAAUUCGAUGAUACGCGAGGAACCUUACCCGGGCUUAAAUUGCAGAUGAAUUACGGUGAAAGCCGUAAGCCGCAAGGCAUCUGUGAAGGUGCUGCAUGGUUGUCGUCAGCUCGUGCCGUGAGGUGUCGGCUUAAG